AGUGGAUGGACUGCCAAAGCAUAAUUUAGGAGGCAUCAGAUCAGCUUCUUGGUGGAUUCUUCGUGAGCAUAUCACUGCCCCUUCACUUCUUGCAGCUGUUGAGGUCUCGGUGGGAGGAUUAGGGAUCAAUGGAGUGGAGGCUCUUGGUGGCUGUUGGCAAGGGAUUAUGGUGCUGUGAGCUGUUGAAUAUGCUGCCAAACCUCAAGG
This is a long non-coding RNA of Zingiber officinale, 207 nucleotides long. RefSeq lists it as uncharacterized. Lineage: Eukaryota; Viridiplantae; Streptophyta; Magnoliopsida; Zingiberales; Zingiberaceae. The record is from RefSeq and is a predicted model, not a curated record. The transcript has 3 exons.